GUUGCACUGUUCAUUUGAGCCCGAAGUAAAUGACGCUUUUGCCCUUAAUUUUUUCUUAAAUUACAUCCCUGCCAUUCAGUCUGUUAUAAACACCCGCCGACAGUAGAAUGCUAGAACUCCAGAAGGUUCAGGUUUUUUCGCUCUCUUGCUUCUCCUUAUCAACUUGACAGUGGUGCAGAUAUUUAGCAACGAUUAGAUACGUGGCAAGGAUUGAUUUCUAUGGCAAAGGGAUUGAUUUCCGUCUCAAAUCAAUAUUCCGUCUGUAACCUGCAUUUGAUCACUCGGCACGAGGUUAUUGAGCUUCCUCGAAGAGAGACAAAGCUCGAGCUUUCUGGAGAUGACGAUCUUCUUCAUUUUAAGAGAAUUAAGAUUGGGUAUCUACACCUGAGGAUUCUAGAUUUGUAUAAUAAGUGGAUUGCUUCUUUUUUCUACAGUCGUGUAAGGAGGAUUGAGAGGUUUAGGGUCAAAGAGAUAGAGAUAGACGAAGAGAUAGAGAGAAAUCGGAGGCAAGUUCUCACCUCAUCAUCUGAGAUCGGAGGCUUGGGUUCGUUUUGGAAGAGAUGUGUGCCAAGAUUGUGAUUGAGUUUAGGAGACCGGCUUUGGGAGCAAAAGAGAUCGAUCAGCUUCGGUCCAAUCUUGAAUCUCUAAUUGCCAGCCGGGUUCAAAUCUUUUUCAUUUGCUUCUGAGAUCAACAUCAGAGCAAACCCAGACUCGAUUACAGAAUUUAUCAGUUAAUUGUGCAGGCCAAAUAAAGGAGGUCCUUCUAAAGCACCAGUUAUAUAUACUGGAAAAAUCAUGUGCUUCACAAUACCAAUGACUGCAAUUGUCUCAUUGUAUACACAUGAGAUGAAAGAACCCUUUGAAGAUGAUAUUGUGUCAGCUCUGCUCAGCUGUUAAAAUAUGCUUAUAGCUACCGAAUGGUCUUAUGGAUAGUCCCAAAACCCAAGAUAGCGAACCAACAACUUCCAUGCCAAAUCUUGUUAAGCUUGGGAAGAAGAGGAAUCUAGAUGGACUGCAGAAGGAAUUGUUCACACCAGAACCAAGCAAGAACCCAAGAAGGCAAGUUUUAAAAUCUUUGUUUGAUCAGUUCAACAAGGAAUAGCUUCAAUUCUGAUUUAGGAACCAUACUCAAUGUGUGCAGUCUCUUUUUCACUUAGUUUUUGCAUUUUAUCUUCUCUGUCCAUUCAAUUUAACCAUGCCUUAGUCAAUGAGGCAAUCCUUUAAAUAUGACCUUCAUGUGCUCUGUAUAUUCCAGUGACAACCUUGAAGAUGAAGCAAACCCAUCAGAUGAGACCAGCACAAAUACAUUGGUUCAAUCUGACACUGAAGACCUUACCUAGCCACUUCUGUUGUGCAACCCUUUUUCUUAUGCCUUUUGUCAUGCUAUGUAACUUUUUGUGAUGAUGACCAUUCUCUAUUUUUUUGGUAAUACUAAUGGCCUUCCGAAAACAAUCAACCAAAAUAGCAGAACAUCUACUGAUUAAUGUACAUAAAAGGUAUCAGAGUUGAUUGUUCAAUAGUGUGACUAAGUACAGCACAUGACAACUGUGGAAGUGCACAUCAACCUCAAAUCUGGAUGAGGAAGGAUGCAUAAAUGAGUUAUCUGUGAUUCCAAGUCUUGGUUGCACUGAUAACUUCUUAAGUCACACAAUGUCCACUUCUGUCGAGGUGUUUGGGACUACAGAAGUUCUGUUAUGGAAUCACAAUCACCCUCAGUGCCCACAACAUUGUAGCUGCUAGCAGAACUGCUG
Rosa chinensis is the source of this 1751-nucleotide long non-coding RNA. RefSeq lists it as uncharacterized. Lineage: Eukaryota; Viridiplantae; Streptophyta; Magnoliopsida; Rosales; Rosaceae. The record is from RefSeq and is a predicted model, not a curated record. The transcript has 7 exons.